AGUUCGAUCAUGGCUCAGAUUGAACGCUGGCGGGAUGCUUUAUACAUGCAAGUCGAACGGCAGCACGGACUUCGGUCUGGUGGCGAGUGGCGAACGGGUGAGUAAUGUAUCGGAACGUGCCUAGUAGCGGGGAUAACUACGCGAAAGCGGUAGCUAAUACCGCAUACGCCCUUCGGGGGAAAGCGGGGACCUUCGGGCCUCGCACUAUUAGAGCGGCCGAUAUCGGAUUAGCUAGUUGGUGGGGUAAACGGCUCACCAAGGCGACGAUCCGUGGCUGGUUUGAGAGGACGACCAGCCACACUGGGACUGGAGACACGGCCCAGACUCCUACGGAGGCAGCAGUGGGGAAUUUUGGACAAUGGGGAAACUCCUGAUCCAGCCAUCAUCCCGCGUGUGCGAUGAAGGCCUUCGGGUUGUAAAGCACUUUGGCAGGAAAGAGACGGCAUCGAUAAUACCCCGUGCAACUGACGGUACCUGCAGAAUAAGCACCGGCUAACUACGUGCCAGCAGCCGCGGUAAUACGUAGGGUGCAAGCGUUAAUCGGAAUUACUGGGCGUAAAGCGUGCGUGCAGGCGGUUCGGAAAGAAAGAUGUGAAAUCCCAGAGCUUAACUUUGGAACUGCAUUUAACUACCGAGCUAGAGUGUGUCAGAGGGAGGUGGAAUUCGCGUGUAGCAGUGGAAUGCGUAGAUAUGCGGAGGAACACCGAUGGCGAAGGCAGCCUCUCUGGGAUAACACUGACGCUCAUGCACGAAAAGCGUGGGGAGCAAACAGGAUUAGAUAAUUCCGGUAGUCCACGCCCUAAACGAUGUCAACUAGCUGUUGGGGCCUUCAGCCUUUGGUAGCGCAACUAACGCGUGAAGUUGACCGCCUGGGGAGUAAUGAAUGCAAGAUUAAAAACUCAAAGGAAUUGACGGGGACCCGCACAAGCGGUGGAUGAUGUGGAUUAAUUCGAUGCAACGCGAAAACCUUACCUACCCUUGACAUGUCUGAAUCCCGAAGAGAUUUGGGAGUGCUCGCAAGAGAACCGGAACACAGGUGCUGCAUGGCUGUCGUCAGCUCGUGUCGUGAGAUGUUGGGUUAAGUCCCGCAACGAGCGGCAACCCUUGUCAUUAGUUGCUACGAAAGGGCACCUUAAUGACUGCCGGUGACAAACUGGAGGAAGGUGGGGAUGACGUCAAGUCCUCAUGGCCCUUAUGGGUAGGGCUUCACACGUCAUACAAUGGUCGGGACAGAGGGUCGCCAACCCGCGAGGGGGAGCCAAUCCGAAACCCGACUGCAAUCGAUCGCAGUCUGCCAGAACUCCGACUGCGUGAAGUCGGGAUCAUAGUAACCGCGGACCAGCAUGUGGCGCGGUGAACACGUUCUGGUCUGUAACCAUCCAACACCGCUCGCUGGAGUGGUUUACCAGAAGUAGUUGAAACAACCGGUAGAGGCGACAACACGGCAGGACUACACUCAAAGUGGUGUCGCACAGUAAAAUACCUGCUGACGCCAUCUGGGAUAUUCCUGGUGGAGCAGCAUGUACUGAAUCGG
This 1534-nucleotide ribosomal RNA is filed under the name uncultured Bordetella sp. Its description in RNAcentral is "partial 16S-23S ribosomal RNA intergenic spacer". It matches the Rfam family "Bacterial small subunit ribosomal RNA". Lineage: Bacteria; Pseudomonadati; Pseudomonadota; Betaproteobacteria; Burkholderiales; Alcaligenaceae. The record is from RNAcentral.